GCGGGUGUAGUUCAAUGGUAGAACAUCAGCUUCCCAAGCUGGUUACGGCAGUUCGAUUCUGCUCACCCGCU
This 71-nucleotide transfer RNA is filed under the name Candidatus Auribacterota bacterium. RNAcentral describes it as "tRNA-Gly". It matches the Rfam family "tRNA". From Rfam's summary of the family: Transfer RNA (tRNA) molecules are approximately 80 nucleotides in length. Their secondary structure includes four short double-helical elements and three loops (D, anti-codon, and T loops). The record is from RNAcentral. Lineage: Bacteria; Pseudomonadati; Candidatus Auribacterota.